GUCGAGCGAAGCACUCGGCCUUGAAUCUUCGGAGGAAAGGCGGUUUGACUGAGCGUCGGACGGGUGAGUAACGCGUGGGCAACCUGCCCCAUACGGGGGGAUAACAGUCAGAAAUGACUGCUAAUACCGCAUAAGACCGCGGUGCCGCAUGGCACAGCGGUAAAAACUCCGGUGGUAUGGGAUGGGCCCGCGUCUGAUUAGCUAGUUGGCGGGGUAACGGCCCACCAAGGCGACGAUCAGUAGCCGACCUGAGAGGGCGACCGGCCACAUUGGGACUGAGACACGGCCCAAACUCCUACGGGAGGCAGCAGUGGGGAAUAUUGCACAAUGGGGGAAACCCUGAUGCAGCGACGCCGCGUGAGCGAUGAAGUAUUUCGGUAUGUAAAGCUCUAUCAGCAGGGAAGAAGAUGACGGUACCUGACUAAGAAGCCCCGGCUAACUACGUGCCAGCAGCCGCGGUAAUACGUAGGGGGCAAGCGUUAUCCGGAUUUACUGGGUGUAAAGGGAGCGUAGACGGCGAUGCAAGCCAGAUGUGAAAGCCCGGGGCUCAACCCCGGGACUGCAUUUGGAACUGUGUGGCUGGAGUGUCGGAGAGGCAGGCGGAAUUCCUAGUGUAGCGGUGAAAUGCGUAGAUAUUAGGAGGAACACCAGUGGCGAAGGCGGCCUGCUGGACGAUGACUGACGUUGAGGCUCGAAAGCGUGGGGAGCAAACAGGAUUAGAUACCCUGGUAGUCCACGCCGUAUACGAUGACUGCUAGGUGUCGGGCGGCAAAG
Molecule: ribosomal RNA, 774 nt
Filed under: uncultured bacterium
Lineage: Bacteria
Description: bacterial SSU rRNA
Rfam family: Bacterial small subunit ribosomal RNA
Source: RNAcentral